GAGAGCACAAUAUGAUGAAAGUUGUAAGCUGUGUUCGGGGGGAGUUAUUGUCUAUCGUUGGCCUCUAUGGUAGAACCCAUUGGGGAGGCCUGAGAGGCGGUGGUUUACCCUGU
Non-coding RNA from Triticum aestivum (bread wheat), 113 nucleotides. The record is from Rfam. Lineage: Eukaryota; Viridiplantae; Streptophyta; Magnoliopsida; Poales; Poaceae.